RNAcentral lists this small nuclear RNA (103 nucleotides) under Callithrix jacchus (white-tufted-ear marmoset). Lineage: Eukaryota; Metazoa; Chordata; Mammalia; Primates; Cebidae. The record is from RNAcentral.
GUGCUUCAGCAGCACAUAUACUAAAAUUCGAACGAUACAGAGAAGAUUAGCAUGGCCCCUGCACAAGGAUGACACGCAAAUUUGUGAAGCACUCCAUAUUUUU